RNAcentral lists this ribosomal RNA (490 nucleotides) under uncultured bacterium. Its description in RNAcentral is "partial 16S ribosomal RNA". It matches the Rfam family "Bacterial small subunit ribosomal RNA", at positions 30 to 507 of the family's 1533-position model. The record is from RNAcentral.
AUUGAACGCUGGCGGCAGGCCUAACACAUGCAAGUCGAACGGUAACAGGAAGAAGCUUGCUUCUUUGCUGACGAGUGGCGGACGGGUGAGUAAUGUCUGGGAAACUGCCUGAUGGAGGGGGAUAACUACUGGAAACGGUAGCUAAUACCGCAUAACGUCGCAAGACCAAAGAGGGGGACCUUCGGGCCUCUUGCCAUCGGAUGUGCCCAGAUGGGAUUAGCUAGUAGGUGGGGUAACGGCUCACCUAGGCGACGAUCCCUAGCUGGUCUGAGAGGAUGACCAGCCACACUGGAACUUAGACACGGUCCAGACUCCUACGGGAGGCAGCAGUGGGGAAUAUUGCACAAUGGGCGCAAGCCUGAUGCAGCCAUGCCGCGUGUAUGAAGAAGGCCUUCGGGUUGUAAAGUACUUUCAGCGGGGAGGAAGGGAGUAAAGUUAAUACCUUUGCUCAUUGACGUUACCCGCAGAAGAAGCACCGGCUAACUCCGUG